GAACAAAUAAAACAGUUGGAGGACAAACAGCAGAUUCUCAAGAGGAAAGUAAGAAGGCUUAGGGAAGAGGCAAGGGCAGAAAAGAUGGGUUUUGAAGAGCAAGAGAUACGGUGGGAAAAGGAAAAAAACUCUCUCCACGCUGUAAUGAAAGAAGUAGAAGCACAGAAUAAUAAGCUUCAGGAAAAAACGAAAUACCAAGAGAUACUCGUUGAAGAGUAUAAACAA
RNAcentral lists this unclassified non-coding RNA (225 nucleotides) under Hevea brasiliensis (rubber tree). Lineage: Eukaryota; Viridiplantae; Streptophyta; Magnoliopsida; Malpighiales; Euphorbiaceae. The record is from RNAcentral.